UCCAAACGCAUUGAGCUUGAUAUUCAAGUUCUAAAAAAAGCUUUCAAAAUUGUUACUUAAUAAUUCGUAUAGGUUUGCAAUGGCAGCAUUCUCUAAGUCCAUAAGGUCCAUAGUGAUUACACUUAUGAUUUAUGCUAUUCUCCUGUCUCCCUUGCUAUUAUGGUCCUGCGAUGCAGCUAGAACCCCUCAAGAAUUCGUGGCGAGCAAGUCUACCGUAGCAUGUCUUCAUUGUGUGGGGUGUUGUGAACCACCACCCCCAGGUGCCUGUUGUACCCGCUGUGGUUGUUGAAACUCCUCUUUUCUACAAGUCAAAUGAAGAAGUCUCAUGAUAAGCAAUCGGUGUGUCUCUGAGUAAUGUGCAUGUUAUACUCAAUAAAGAAACAACUUGGUUUCUAUAGGUUAAUUAGGCGUGUUAUUUGUACACUGUGGGAAAUGUCGAGUUUGUAACGUUUUGUAUUUAGUGAAUAAAUUAAGAGAAAAGAUUUCGAGGAGGAAAUCCCGAAGUUUUAUCUUUUCUGGUUGGACCAUUCA
Molecule: long non-coding RNA, 531 nt
Organism: Lycium barbarum (goji berry)
Lineage: Eukaryota; Viridiplantae; Streptophyta; Magnoliopsida; Solanales; Solanaceae
Exons: 2
Source: RefSeq, a predicted model, not a curated record